This 445-nucleotide ribosomal RNA is filed under the name uncultured soil bacterium. RNAcentral describes it as "bacterial SSU rRNA". It matches the Rfam family "Bacterial small subunit ribosomal RNA", at positions 26 to 518 of the family's 1533-position model. The record is from RNAcentral.
AGAACGAACGCUGGCGGCAUGCCUAACACAUGCAAGUCGAACGAGACCUUCGGGUCUAGUGGCGCACGGGUGCGUAACGCGUGGGAAUCUGCCCUUCGGUUCGGAAUAACUCAGGGAAACUUGAGCUAAUACCGGAUAAUGACUUCGGUCCAAAGAUUCAUCGCCGAGGGAUGAGCCCGCGUAGGAUUAGCUUGUUGGUGAGGUAAAGGCUCACCAAGGCGACGAUCCUUAGCUGGUCUGAGAGGAUGAUCAGCCACACUGGGACUGAGACACGGCCCAGACUCCUACGGGAGGCAGCAGUGGGGAAUAUUGGACAAUGGGCGAAAGCCUGAUCCAGCAAUGCCGCGUGAGUGAUGAAGGCCCUAGGUUGUAAAGCUCUUUUAACCCGGGAUGAUAAUGACAGUACCGGAGAAUAAGCCCCGGCUAACUCCGCGCCAGCAGCCGC